CGGGGUGAGUAAUGUAUGGGGAUCUGCCUGAUGGCGGGGGAUAACUACUGGAAACGGUAGCUAAUACCGCAUAAUGUCUGCGGACCAAAGCGGGGGACCUCCGGGCCUCGCGCCAUCAGAUGAACCCAUAUGGGAUUAGCUAGUAGGUAAGGUAACGGCUUACCUAGGCGACGAUCCCUAGCUGGUCUGAGAGGAUGAUCAGCCACACUGGACUGAGACACGGCCCAG
This 228-nucleotide ribosomal RNA is filed under the name uncultured bacterium. RNAcentral describes it as "partial 16S ribosomal RNA". It matches the Rfam family "Bacterial small subunit ribosomal RNA", at positions 104 to 334 of the family's 1533-position model. The record is from RNAcentral.